GCGAGGCGUCGUCGUCGAUUUCGGUUUAUAACAAUAAUGUUCCUCCGAGUUUAGGUCUUCCGAAUGGGCAACAUCUGAACCAUGAAGCUUAUUCUUCUCCUUGGGGUCAUUCUCCUCAUGCCAGACCUCCUUUCUAAUUAUUGAACGUGCUACAUGGCAACAAUUAAUAUAUUAUUAUAGAAGGAUCAUAUCAUAAUAUUAUGAUAUGAGUAAGUUAAUUAAUUAGCUCGAGACUUGAUUUAUAUAAUAAUAAUAAUAAUGAUAUGAUAUGCUAUUAAUCAUAGUGUAUUUGUAUAUUUAAUUUACUGCAACCGCUUCCGAUCUGGUCUCACCUUAAUAAGCAACCUGCACAGUGGCCAUGGGCGUUGCUUCUUUCUGUAAUUUCUUGAGUGACUUUUUAGUUUUCUAUCACUCUAGCCAUGUCUGCUUCUUUCUUUUUUUAUUUGGCUCAAGUAUGUCUGCUUCUAUUUCCU
Molecule: long non-coding RNA, 473 nt
Filed under: Glycine max (soybean)
Lineage: Eukaryota; Viridiplantae; Streptophyta; Magnoliopsida; Fabales; Fabaceae
Description: long non-coding RNA (GMAX_LNC002283)
Source: RNAcentral